This 253-nucleotide ribosomal RNA is filed under the name uncultured bacterium. RNAcentral describes it as "partial 16S ribosomal RNA". It matches the Rfam family "Bacterial small subunit ribosomal RNA", at positions 524 to 776 of the family's 1533-position model. The record is from RNAcentral.
UACAGAGGGUGCGAGCGUUAAUCGGAAUUACUGGGCGUAAAGCGUGCGUAGACGGUUAUGUAAGUCAGAUGUGAAAGCCCCGGGCUCAACCUGGGAAUGGCAUUUGAGACUGCAUAGCUAGGAUGCGGAAGAGGGAAGUGGAAUUUCCGGUGUAGCGGUGAAAUGCGUAGAUAUCGGAAGGAACAUCAGUGGCGAAAGCGACUUCCUGGUCCAGCAUCGACGUUCAGGCACGAAAGCGUGGGGAGCAAACAGG